This 409-nucleotide ribosomal RNA is filed under the name Verrucomicrobiota bacterium. Its description in RNAcentral is "Verrucomicrobia bacterium partial 16S ribosomal RNA". It matches the Rfam family "Bacterial small subunit ribosomal RNA", at positions 355 to 776 of the family's 1533-position model. Lineage: Bacteria; Pseudomonadati; Verrucomicrobiota. The record is from RNAcentral.
UGGGGCAUAUUGCACAAUGGGCGGAUGCCUGAUGCAGCGACGCCGCGUGAGGGAUGACGGCCUUCGGGUUGUAAACCUCUUUCAGUAGGGACGAAGCGUAAGUGACGGUACCUGCGGAAGAAGCACCGGCUAACUACGUGCCAGCAGCCGCGGUAAUACGUAGGGUGCGAGCGUUGUCCGGAAUUACUGGACGUAAAGUGCUCGUAGGCGGUUUGUCACGUCGUCUGUGAAAUCCUAGGGCUUAACCCUGGACGUGCAGGCGAUACGGGCUGACUUGAGUACUACAGGGGAGACUGGAAUUUCUGGUGUAGCGGUGGAAUGCACAGAUAUCAGGAAGAACACCGAUGGCGAAGGCAGGUCUCUGGGUAGUAACUGACGCUAAGGAGCGAAAGCAUGGGUAGCGAACAGG